Molecule: ribosomal RNA, 671 nt
Filed under: uncultured Arcobacter sp.
Lineage: Bacteria; Pseudomonadati; Campylobacterota; Epsilonproteobacteria; Campylobacterales; Arcobacteraceae
Description: bacterial SSU rRNA
Rfam family: Bacterial small subunit ribosomal RNA
Source: RNAcentral
CGAAAACGGGUCUAAGCUUGCUUAGAUUGUCAGCUAAGUGGCGCACGGGUGAGUAAUAUAUAGGUAACAUGCCUUCGAGAAGGGGAUAACGUUUGGAAACGAACGCUAAUACCCUAUAUGCCUUUAAGUCUUAAGACUGCAAGGGAAAUAUUUAUAGCUCGAAGAUUGGCCUGUACAGUAUCAGCUAGUUGGUGAGGUAAUGGCUCACCAAGGCAAUGACGCUUAACUGGUUUGAGAGGAUGAUCAGUCACACUGGAACUGAGACACGGUCCAGACUCCUACGGGAGGCAGCAGUGGGGAAUAUUGCACAAUGGACGAAAGUCUGAUGCAGCAACGCCGCGUGGAGGAUGACACAUUUCGGUGCGUAAACUCCUUUUAUAUAGGAAGAUAAUGACGGUACUAUAUGAAUAAGCACCGGCUAACUCCGUGCCAGCAGCCGCGGUAAUACGGAGGGUGCAAGCGUUACUCGGAAUCACUGGGCGUAAAGAGAAUGUAGGCGGGUAGAUAAGUUUGAAGUGAAAUCCAAUGGCUCAACCAUUGAACUGCUUUGAAAACUGUUUACCUAGAAUAUGGGAGAGGUAGAUGGAAUUUCUGGUGUAGGGGUAAAAUCCGUAGAGAUCAGAAGGAAUACCGAUUGCGAAGGCGAUCUACUGGAACAUUAUUGACGCUGA